This 277-nucleotide ribosomal RNA is filed under the name Enterobacter asburiae. Its description in RNAcentral is "partial 16S ribosomal RNA". It matches the Rfam family "Bacterial small subunit ribosomal RNA", at positions 325 to 594 of the family's 1533-position model. Lineage: Bacteria; Pseudomonadati; Pseudomonadota; Gammaproteobacteria; Enterobacterales; Enterobacteriaceae. The record is from RNAcentral. RNAcentral also lists the same sequence under 11 other names.
CACGGUCCAGACUCCUACGGGAGGCAGCAGUGGGGAAUAUUGCACAAUGGGCGCAAGCCUGAUGCAGCCAUGCCGCGUGUAUGAAGAAGGCCUUCGGGUUGUAAAGUACUUUCAGCGGGGAGGAAGGUGUUGAGGUUAAUAACCUCAGCAAUUGACGUUACCCGCAGAAGAAGCACCGGCUAACUCCGUGCCAGCAGCCGCGGUAAUACGGAGGGUGCAAGCGUUAAUCGGAAUUACUGGGCGUAAAGCGCACGCAGGCGGUCUGUCAAGUCGGAUG